GGGGUUGUGGCUCAGUGGUAGAGCGCUUGCCUAGCACGCAUGGGACUCUGGGUUUGAUCCCUAGCACCA
RNAcentral lists this transfer RNA (69 nucleotides) under Ictidomys tridecemlineatus (thirteen-lined ground squirrel). RNAcentral's name for it is "Spermophilus tridecemlineatus (thirteen-lined ground squirrel) tRNA". It matches the Rfam family "tRNA". From Rfam's summary of the family: Transfer RNA (tRNA) molecules are approximately 80 nucleotides in length. Their secondary structure includes four short double-helical elements and three loops (D, anti-codon, and T loops). Further hydrogen bonds mediate the characteristic L-shaped molecular structure. tRNAs have two regions of fundamental functional importance: the anti-codon, which is responsible for specific mRNA codon recognition, and the 3' end, to which the tRNAs corresponding amino acid is attached (by aminoacyl-tRNA synthetases). tRNAs cope with the degeneracy of the genetic code in two manners: having more than one tRNA (with a specific anti-codon) for a particular amino acid; and 'wobble' base-pairing, i.e. permitting non-standard base-pairing at the 3rd anti-codon position. The record is from Rfam by way of RNAcentral. Lineage: Eukaryota; Metazoa; Chordata; Mammalia; Rodentia; Sciuridae.